RNAcentral lists this ribosomal RNA (253 nucleotides) under uncultured bacterium. RNAcentral's name for it is "partial 16S ribosomal RNA". It matches the Rfam family "Bacterial small subunit ribosomal RNA", at positions 524 to 776 of the family's 1533-position model. The record is from RNAcentral.
UACGUAGGUGGCAAGCGUUAUCCGGAAUUACUGGGCGUAAAGCGCACGCAGGCGGUCUUGUAAGUUUGACGUGAAAGCUCCCGGCUUAACUGGGAGAGGUCGUUGAAGACUGCAAGACUUGAGGAAAUGAGAGGGGUGUAGAAUUCCCGGUGUAGCAGUGAAAUGCGUAGAGAUCGGGAGGAACAUCCGUGGCGAAGGCGACUACCUGGACCAGCACUGACACUGAGGCACGAAAGCGUGGGGAGCAAACAGG